CCAUACGUCCUCACGUCUCUCUCUCCCUCUUGUUCGUUUCUCCUUCUAAAAGUUCGAACUCUCAAACCCCUCCUCAGAACCUCUCUAGUUUUAUUUGCAUCUCAUCGACGUACCUGAAUUUGCUCCUCCUUGCGUUCGUGCUAUAGGUGCUCAAUAAUGUGCGAUGCGUGCUCGAUACAAUCUCAAUAGUCAUAAAGAUGAUGACGACGUGGAUCAAGAUGAGUUCUAAUCUUGUUAUUGUUGGAAGAUCGUGUUAUAAAAGGAGACGUUAUAAAGCCAAAGGGAAGUUCCAAGAGACAUUACAUUAUCUCCAGGAAGUUCUUAUAAAGAUCUUAAGAAAGAUAUUGCUUUAUUUUUUGAUCGUCAUUCGGUAAGAUGCGUAUGAUAGUGCGAAUCAGGUGAAAAGAUGUUCAAUCCCAAGGAACAUGACAACUACGAUGCAAAAAUGACUACAUGUUCGAUACGUUUC
This is a long non-coding RNA of Cynara cardunculus var. scolymus (artichoke), 469 nucleotides long. RefSeq lists it as uncharacterized. Lineage: Eukaryota; Viridiplantae; Streptophyta; Magnoliopsida; Asterales; Asteraceae. The record is from RefSeq and is a predicted model, not a curated record. The transcript has 2 exons.